UAACGCGGCGGAAUGCUUUACACAUGCAAGUCGAACGGCAGCAUAGAGAGCUUGCUCUCUGAUGGCGAGUGGCGAACGGGUGAGUAAUAUAUCGGAACGUGCCUAGUAAUGGGGAAUAACUAGCUGAAAGGUUAGCUAAUGCCGCAUACGACCUACGGGUGAAAGCAGGGGAUCUUCGGACCUUGCGUUAUUAGAGCGGCCGAUAUCUGAUUAGCUUGUUGGUGGGGUAAUGGCCUACCAAGGCGACGAUCAGUAGCUGGUCUGAGAGGACGAUCAGCCACACUGGAACUGAGACACGGUCCAGACUCCUACGGGAGGCAGCAGUGGGGAAUUUUGGACAAUGGGGGCAACCCUGAUCCAGCCAUUCCGCGUGAGUGAAGAAGGCCUUCGGGUUGUAAAGCUCUUUCGCAAGAGAAGAAAACUUGCUAUCUAAUAAAUAGUAAGUAUGACGGUAUCUUGACAAGAAGCACCGGCUAACUACGUGCCAGCAGCCGCGGUAAUACGUAGGGUGCAAGCGUUAAUCGGAAUUACUGGGCGUAAAGCGUGCGCAGGCAGUUUUAUAAGUCAGAUGUGAAAUCCCCGAGCUCAACUUGGGAACUGCGUUUGAAACUAUAAGACUAGAGUGUGUCAGAGGGGGGUAGAAUUCCAAGUGUAGCAGUGAAAUGCGUAGAGAUUUGGAGGAAUACCAAUGGCGAAGG
Molecule: ribosomal RNA, 698 nt
Filed under: bacterium IMCC11563
Lineage: Bacteria
Description: bacterial SSU rRNA
Rfam family: Bacterial small subunit ribosomal RNA
Source: RNAcentral